GCGCGGCUGGUCUAAUGGCUAUGACUCUAGCCUUCCAAGCUAGCGAUCCGGGUUCAAUUCCCGGGCCGCGCA
This 72-nucleotide transfer RNA is filed under the name Natronomonas sp. Its description in RNAcentral is "tRNA-Gly". It matches the Rfam family "tRNA". From Rfam's summary of the family: Transfer RNA (tRNA) molecules are approximately 80 nucleotides in length. Their secondary structure includes four short double-helical elements and three loops (D, anti-codon, and T loops). Lineage: Archaea; Methanobacteriati; Methanobacteriota; Halobacteria; Halobacteriales; Natronomonadaceae. The record is from RNAcentral. RNAcentral also lists the same sequence under 1 other name.